UACGUAGGUGGCAAGCGUUGUCCGGAUUUACUGGGCGUAAAGAGCGCGCAGGCGGUCGUUCAAGUCGCGUGUGAAAGCCUCCGGCUCAACUGGGGAGGGUCACGCGAUACUGAUCGACUCGAAGGCAGGAGAGGGUAGUGGAAUUCCCGGUGUAGUGGUGAAAUGCGUAGAUAUCGGGAGGAACACCAGUGGCGAAGGCGACUACCUGGCCUGUUUCUUGACGCUGAGGCGCGAAAGCUAGGGGAGCAAACGGG
RNAcentral lists this ribosomal RNA (254 nucleotides) under uncultured bacterium. RNAcentral's name for it is "partial 16S ribosomal RNA". It matches the Rfam family "Bacterial small subunit ribosomal RNA", at positions 524 to 776 of the family's 1533-position model. The record is from RNAcentral.